Molecule: unclassified non-coding RNA, 328 nt
Filed under: soil metagenome
Description: partial contains 5.8S ribosomal RNA, internal transcribed spacer 2, and large subunit ribosomal RNA
Rfam family: 5.8S ribosomal RNA (bases 1-120)
Source: RNAcentral
GAUGAAGAACGUAGCGAAAUGCGAUAAGUAAUGUGAAUUGCAGAAUUCAGUGAAUCAUCGAAUCUUUGAACGCACAUUGCGCCCCCUGGUAUUCCGGGGGGCAUGCCUGUUCGAGCGUCAUUACAACCCUCAAGCUCUGCUUGGUAUUGGGCCCCGCCAGUUCUGGCGGGCCCUAAAGUCAGUGGCGGUGCCUUCCGGCUCCGAGCGUAGUAAUUCUUCUCGCUCUGGAGACCCGGUUGUGUGCUUGCCAACAACCCCCAAUUUUUUAAGGUUGACCUCGGAUCAGGUAGGGAUACCGCUGAACUUAAGCAUAUCAAUAAGCGGAGGA